This 238-nucleotide ribosomal RNA is filed under the name uncultured archaeon. Its description in RNAcentral is "partial 16S ribosomal RNA". It matches the Rfam family "Archaeal small subunit ribosomal RNA", at positions 328 to 570 of the family's 1478-position model. The record is from RNAcentral.
GGGCGCAGCAGGCGCGAAACCUUUACAAUGCGGGCAACCGUGAUAAGGGAACCUCGAGUGCCUGUAAACGCAGGCUGUUCAGGUGUUUAAAACGCACCUGGAGAAAGGGCCGGGCAAGACCGGUGCCAGCCGCCGCGGUAAUACCGGCGGCUCGAGUGGUGGCCGCUUUUAUUGGGCUUAAAGCGUUCGUAGCUGGGUUGUUAAGUCUCUUGGGAAAUCUGGCGGCUUAACCGUCAGG